This 383-nucleotide ribosomal RNA is filed under the name uncultured Anaerolineaceae bacterium. RNAcentral describes it as "bacterial SSU rRNA". It matches the Rfam family "Bacterial small subunit ribosomal RNA", at positions 986 to 1378 of the family's 1533-position model. Lineage: Bacteria; Bacillati; Chloroflexota; Anaerolineae; Anaerolineales; Anaerolineaceae. The record is from RNAcentral.
AUAGCAGUGGUAGGGAAGCGAAAGCGGACCGACCUUCGGGUAGCUGUUACAGGUGUUGCAUGGCUGUCGUCAGCUCGUGUCGUGAGAUGUUCGGUUAAGUCCGCUAACGAGCGCAACCCUCGUGAUGUGUUACAAGUGUCACAUCAUACUGCCGGUAUUAAGUCGGAGGAAGGUGGGGAUGACGUCAAGUCAGCAUGACCUUUAUAUCCAGGGCUACACACACGCUACAAUGGUCUGUACAAUAGGUUGCCAAGCCGCGAGGCGGAGCCAAUCCUAAAAAGCAGGCCUCAGUUCAGAUUGCAGUCUGCAACUCGACUGCAUGAAGUUGGAGUUGCUAGUAAACGCAGGUCAGCUAUACUGCGUUGAAUACGUUCCCGGGGAUU